RNAcentral lists this ribosomal RNA (428 nucleotides) under uncultured bacterium. RNAcentral describes it as "bacterial SSU rRNA". It matches the Rfam family "Bacterial small subunit ribosomal RNA", at positions 354 to 796 of the family's 1533-position model. The record is from RNAcentral.
GUGGGGAAUAUUGGGCAAUGGGCGAAAGCCUGACCCAGCGACGCCGCGUGAAGGAAGAAGGCCCUCGGGUUGUAAACUUCAGUCAACAGGGAAGAAACAAAUGACGGUACCUGUGGAGGAAGCCACGGCUAACUACGUGCCAGCAGCCGCGGUAAUACGUAGGUGGCAAGCGUUAUCCGGAUUUACUGGGUGUAAAGGGUGUGUAGGCGGGUCUGCAAGUCAGAUGUGAAAACUAUGGGCUCAACUCAUAGCUUGCAUUUGAAACUGUGGAUCUUGAGUGUCGGAGAGGUAAAUGGAAUUCCCGGUGUAGAGGUGAAAUUCGUAGAUAUCGGGAGGAACACCAGUGGCGAAGGCGGUUUACUGGACGAUUACUGACGCUGAGACACGAAAGUGUGGGGAGCAAACAGGAUUAGAAACCCUAGUAGUCC